CAGUAGCCGCGGUAAUACGUAGGGUGCAAGUGUUAAUCGGAAUUACUGGGCGUAAAGCGUGCGCAGGCGGUUCGCUAAGACAGAUGUGAAAUCCCCGGGCUUAACCUGGGAACUGCAUUUGUGACUGGCGGGCUAGAGUAUGGCAGAGGGGGGUAGAAUUCCACGUGUAGCAGUGAAAUGCGUAGAGAUGUGGAGGAACACCGAUGGCGAAGGCAGCCCCCUGGGCCAAUACUGACGCUCAUGCACGAAAGCGUGGGGAGCGAACAGGAUUAGAUACCCCUGUAGUCCCUGUCUCUUAUAC
Molecule: ribosomal RNA, 301 nt
Filed under: uncultured bacterium
Lineage: Bacteria
Description: partial 16S ribosomal RNA
Rfam family: Bacterial small subunit ribosomal RNA
Source: RNAcentral